AUACGUAGGUGACAAGCGUUAUCCGGAUUUACUGGGCGUAAAGGGCGUGUAGGCGGUCUUGCAAGUCAGAAGUGAAAUUCCUGAGCUCAACUCGGGCGCUGCUUCUGAAACUGCAGGACUUGAGUGCUGGAGGGGAUAGCGGAAUUCCUAGUGGAGCGGUAAAGUGCGCAGAUAUUAGGAAGAACACCGGUGGCGAAGGCGGCUAUCUGGACAGUAACUGACGCUGAGGCGCGAAAGCGUGGGGAGCAAACAGGAUUAGAUACCCUGGUAGUCCACGCUGUAAACGAUGAAUACUAGGUGUAGGGGGUAUCGACUCCCUCUGUGCCGCAGUUAACACAAUAAGUAUUCCGCCUGGGGAGUACGGCCGCAAGGUUGAAACUCAAAUGAAUUGACGGGG
RNAcentral lists this ribosomal RNA (397 nucleotides) under uncultured bacterium. RNAcentral's name for it is "partial 16S ribosomal RNA". It matches the Rfam family "Bacterial small subunit ribosomal RNA", at positions 523 to 918 of the family's 1533-position model. The record is from RNAcentral.